This 737-nucleotide ribosomal RNA is filed under the name bacterium enrichment culture clone SRC_NBA5. Its description in RNAcentral is "bacterial SSU rRNA". It matches the Rfam family "Bacterial small subunit ribosomal RNA", at positions 767 to 1504 of the family's 1533-position model. The record is from RNAcentral.
AGCAAACAGGAUUAGAUACCCUGGUAGUCCACGCCGUAAACGAUGUCGACUUGGAGGUUGUGCCCUUGAGGCGUGGCUUCCGGAGCUAACGCGUUAAGUCGACCGCCUGGGGAGUACGGCCGCAGGGUUAAAACUCAAAUGAAUUGACGGGGGCCCGCACAAGCGGUGGAGCAUGUGGUUUAAUUCGAUGCAACGCGAAGAACCUUACCUGGUCUUGACAUCCACGGAAGUUUUCAGAGAUGAGAAUGUGCCUUCGGGAACCGUGAGACAGGUGCUGCAUGGCUGUCGUCAGCUCGUGUUGUGAAAUGUUGGGUUAAGUCCCGCAACGAGCGCAACCCUUAUCCUUUGUUGCCAGCGGUCCGGCCGGGAACUCAAAGGAGACUGCCAGUGAUAAACUGGAGGAAGGUGGGGAUGACGUCAAGUCAUCAUGGCCCUUACGACCAGGGCUACACACGUGCUACAAUGGCGCAUACAAAGAGAAGCGACCUCGCGAGAGCAAGCGGACCUCAUAAAGUGCGUCGUAGUCCGGAUUGGAGUCUGCAACUCGACUCCAUGAAGUCGGAAUCGCUAGUAAUCGUGGAUCAGAAUGCCACGGUGAAUACGUUCCCGGGCCUUGUACACACCGCCCGUCACACCAUGGGAGUGGGUUGCAAAAGAAGUAGGUAGUUUAACCUUCGGGAGGGCGCUUACCACUUUGUGAUUCAUGACUGGGGUGAAGUCGUAACAAGGUAACCGUA